This 293-nucleotide ribosomal RNA is filed under the name uncultured bacterium. RNAcentral's name for it is "partial 16S ribosomal RNA". It matches the Rfam family "Bacterial small subunit ribosomal RNA", at positions 29 to 334 of the family's 1533-position model. The record is from RNAcentral.
AACGAACGUUGGCGGCGUGCUUAACACAUGCAAGUCGAGGGAGAAUCUACUCUUCGGAGUAGAGGAGACCGGCGCACGGGUGAGUAACACGUGGGUACGUGCCCUAGAGACUGGGAUAACUGUCCGAAAGGAUGGCUAAUACCGGAUACGCUCCUUCGGGAGGAAAUGCUUUUGCGCUCUAGGAUCGGCCCGCGUCCCAUUAGGUAGUUGGUAGGGUAAUGGCCUACCAAGCCCGAGAUGGGUAGCUGGUCUGAGAGGAUGAUCAGCCACACUGGGACUGAGACACGGCCCAG